This 508-nucleotide ribosomal RNA is filed under the name uncultured bacterium. RNAcentral's name for it is "partial 16S ribosomal RNA". It matches the Rfam family "Bacterial small subunit ribosomal RNA", at positions 28 to 507 of the family's 1533-position model. The record is from RNAcentral.
GACGAACGCUGGCGGCGUGCCUAAUACAUGCCAGUCGAACGCUUCUUUCCUCCCGAGUGCUUGCACUCAAUUGGAAAGAGGAGUGGCGGACGGGUGAGUAACACGUGGGUAACCUACCCAUCAGAGGGGGAUAACACUUGGAAACAGGUGCUAAUACCGCAUAACAGUUUAUGCCGCAUGGCAUAAGAGUGAAAGGCGCUUUCGGGUGUCGCUGAUGGAUGGACCCGCGGUGCAUUAGCUAGUUGGUGAGGUAACGGCUCACCAAGGCCACGAUGCAUAGCCGACCUGAGAGGGUGAUCGGCCACACUGGGACUGAGACACGGCCCAGACUCCCACGGGAGGCAGCAGUAGGGAAUCUUCGGCAAUGGACGAAAGUCUGACCGAGCAACGCCGCGUGAGUGAAGAAGGUUUUCGGAUCGUAAAACUCUGUUGUUAGAGAAGAACAAGGACGUUAGUAACUGAACGUCCCCUGACGGUAUCUAACCAGAAAGCCACGGCUAACUACGUG